AACGAACGCUGGCGGCGUGCUUAACACAUGCAAGUCGAACGAAGACUCCCUGCUUUUUUGCGCUGCUCUAGUUGCCGCGGGGUGAUUUACCCUUUGGUUACCUUUCCUAGCUUUUGGGGUAACCUCAGGCAACUUGGUGUCAAACCGGCUAAGAGUUCUUGCUGCAUGGUGGGGGUUGGAAAGUUUCGGCGGUUGGGGAUGUACAGGCGGCUGAUCGCCUCGUUGGUGGGGUGGUGUCUUACCAAGGUCUGGACGGGUAGCCGGCCUGCGCGGGGGACCGGCCACAUUGGGACUGAGAUACGGCCCAGACUCCUACGGGAGGCAGCAGUGGGGAAGAUUGCACAAUGGGAGGGAGCCAGAUGCAACAACGCCGCGUGCGGGAUGACGGCCUUCGGGUGGUAAACCGAUGUCGCCUUAGACGAAGAGUGGGUGACGGUAAUGGGUAAAGAAGCACCGGCUAACUACGUG
This 468-nucleotide ribosomal RNA is filed under the name uncultured bacterium. RNAcentral describes it as "partial 16S ribosomal RNA". It matches the Rfam family "Bacterial small subunit ribosomal RNA", at positions 28 to 507 of the family's 1533-position model. The record is from RNAcentral.